This 253-nucleotide ribosomal RNA is filed under the name uncultured bacterium. Its description in RNAcentral is "partial 16S ribosomal RNA". It matches the Rfam family "Bacterial small subunit ribosomal RNA", at positions 524 to 776 of the family's 1533-position model. The record is from RNAcentral.
UACGGAGGGGGCUAGCGUUGUUCGGAAUUACUGGGCGUAAAGGGUGUGUAGGCUGUCUAAUAAGUUAGAUGUGAAAUCCUAGGGCUUAACCCUAGAACUGCAUCUAAAACUAUCAGACUUGAGUUAAGGAGAGGGUAACGGAAUUCCUAGUGUAGAGGUGAAAUUCGUAGAUAUUAGGAGGAACAUCAAAGGCGAAGGCAGUUACCUGGCCUUGUACUGACGCUGAGACACGAAAGCGUGGGGAGCAAACAGG